This 393-nucleotide ribosomal RNA is filed under the name uncultured bacterium. RNAcentral's name for it is "partial 16S ribosomal RNA". It matches the Rfam family "Bacterial small subunit ribosomal RNA", at positions 523 to 918 of the family's 1533-position model. The record is from RNAcentral.
AUACGGAAGGUCCGGGCGUUAUCCGGAUUUAUUGGGUUUAAAGGGAGCGCAGGCGGAGAUGCAAGCGUGACGUCAAAUUUCGGGGCUCAACCCCGUCUCGCGUCGCGAACUGCGUCCCUUGGUUGCGGGAAGGGGAGGCGGAACUCGUGGUGUAGCGGUGAAGUGCAUAGAUAUCACGAAGAACUCCGAUCGCGAAGGCAGCCUUCCGGCCCGUCAACGACGCUCAUGCUCGAAGGUGCGGGUAUCAAACAGGAUUAGAUACCCUGGUAGUCCGCACAGUAAACGAUGGACACCCGCGGUUUGGCCUAUAUGGCUGAGCCGCCAAGCGAAAGCGUUAAGUGUCCCACCUGGGGAGUACGCCGGCAACGGUGAAACUCAAAGGAAUUGACGGGG